This is a long non-coding RNA of Medicago truncatula (barrel medic), 630 nucleotides long. RefSeq lists it as uncharacterized. The transcript has 2 exons. NCBI's taxonomy places the organism in Eukaryota, Viridiplantae, Streptophyta, Magnoliopsida, Fabales, Fabaceae. The record is from RefSeq and is a predicted model, not a curated record.
AAAAAAUAAGUUAAGGAACUAAAUGAUGUAUUAAGCCUUAAAUCAAAUAUUUUCCUUUUCAACACUGCCAUUUGGUUUCUACCGUCAAAAUCUCUAUAUAUGAAGACAACUAUGGGGAAUUGAUAUUCAAGAAGCAACCAAAACACUCACAACAAUUCUUUAAAGACUACAUCUUCUUCAACGCAUGACUUCUCAAUUAUCAGAGCCUUUAGAGUCAACAUCCACCCCCUAGAGCCCCUUCUAUUAAAGAAGUCAUUUGGCAUCCUCCAAUCCUUGGAUGGGUGAAACGUAACACCGAUGAUGCUUGCCUUGGGAAUCCUAAAAUUUUAGCUCGUGGGGUCAUUUGUAGAGACAAUAAUGUAGACUGUCUGGGUUGCUUUGCUAAGAAGUUAUCUGUUGGAUAAAAUUUUACUACAUAACUUGAAGGAGCAUGAAGGCCAUAAAGGUAGCAAAUUCCAAAGGUUUCUCAAACCUUUGGAUAUAAUAUGAUUCCAGUUAGUUGUUCUUGCCUUCAAAUCAAAAUCUAUAGUUCCUUGAAACAUUAGCAAACACUGGAGGAAUGUUUUGGCUUUAUGUAGAAAUGUAAAUGUGAUUAUCUUUUAUAUUUAUAGAGAAGGUAAUAGUUGUGCA